Molecule: non-coding RNA, 83 nt
Organism: Parcubacteria group bacterium
Lineage: Bacteria
Source: Rfam
GCCUCUGUGGUGGAAUGGCAGACACGUAGCGUUCAGAACGCUAUGACCUCACGGUCGUGCAGGUUCGACUCCUGUCAGAGGCA